GAAAUGCGAUAAGUAGUGUGAAUUGCAGAUACCGUGAAUCAUCAAAUCUUUGAACGCAUAUUGCACUGUCUGGAACUCCGGACAGUAUACCUGUUUGAGUAUCAGUUAACACUCUCCCACCCUCCCACAGUAGUAUGUGGGGCGGUGGCGAGGACUUGAGUCGUCAUCCGCCACCAGUGGCGGGCGUGACUUGAAAUGCAUUUGCUGGCGUAGGCAGUCUGACUGACGCUACUGGCUGACAGAGUUAAUGGGCACGUGUGCCUGUGACUGUCUGGCGAGUGCGUCGUAAUCUGCUGACUAUGAACAGCACCACCCAACAAACCAUACAGUGGCCACAAUGCGUGGCUGGCUGUGAUGUUGAUCUCAAAUCAGGUAAGACUACCCGCUGAACUUAA
RNAcentral lists this unclassified non-coding RNA (395 nucleotides) under uncultured Eurotiales. RNAcentral's name for it is "sequence contains ITS1". The stretch from base 1 to 104 matches the Rfam family "5.8S ribosomal RNA", at positions 50 to 154 of the family's 154-position model. Lineage: Eukaryota; Fungi; Ascomycota; Eurotiomycetes; Eurotiales. The record is from RNAcentral.